GACGUAGGGCGCGAGCGUUGUCCGGAUUUAUUGGGCGUAAAGAGCUCGUAGGCGGCUCAUUGCGUCAACCGUGAAAACCAGCAGCUCAACUGUUGGCUUGCGGUUGAUACGGGUGGGCUGGAGUUCGGUAGGGGAGACUGGAAUUCCUGGUGUAGCGGUGAAAUGCGCAGAUAUCAGGAGGAACACCGGUGGCGAAAGCGGCUCACUGGAUCUCUUCUGACGCUGAGGCACGAAAGCUAGGGUAGCGAACGGG
RNAcentral lists this ribosomal RNA (253 nucleotides) under uncultured bacterium. RNAcentral describes it as "partial 16S ribosomal RNA". It matches the Rfam family "Bacterial small subunit ribosomal RNA", at positions 524 to 776 of the family's 1533-position model. The record is from RNAcentral.